AAGGGGGCUCCGGCUCCCGCUAUCGGAUGAGCCUAUGUCGGAUUAGCUAGUUGGUGAGGUAAAGGCUCACCAAGGCAACGAUCCGUAGCUGGUCUGAGAGGAUGAUCAGCCACAUCGGGACUGAGACACGGCCCGAACUCCUACGGGAGGCAGCAGUGGGGAAUAUUGGACAAUGGGGGCAACCCUGAUCCAGCCAUGCCGCGUGUGUGAAGAAGGCCCUCGGGUUGUAAAGCACUUUCAGCGAGGAAGAACGCCUAGCGGUUAAUACCCGCUAGGAAAGACAUCACUCGCAGAAGAAGCACCGGCUAACUCCGUGCCAGCAGCCGCGGUAAUACGGAGGGUGCAAGCGUUAAUCGGAAUUACUGGGCGUAAAGCGCGCGUAGGUGGCUUGAUAAGCCGGUUGUGAAAGCCCCGGGCUCAACCUGGGAACGGCAUCCGGAACUGUCAAGCUAGAGUGCAGGAGAGGAAGGUAGAAUUCCCGGUGUAGCGGUGAAAUGCGUAGAGAUCGGGAGGAAUACCAGUGGCGAAGGCGGCCUUCUGGACUGACACUGACACUGAGG
This 560-nucleotide ribosomal RNA is filed under the name Vreelandella aquamarina. RNAcentral's name for it is "bacterial SSU rRNA". It matches the Rfam family "Bacterial small subunit ribosomal RNA", at positions 202 to 751 of the family's 1533-position model. Lineage: Bacteria; Pseudomonadati; Pseudomonadota; Gammaproteobacteria; Oceanospirillales; Halomonadaceae. The record is from RNAcentral.